RNAcentral lists this ribosomal RNA (558 nucleotides) under uncultured archaeon. RNAcentral describes it as "bacterial SSU rRNA". It matches the Rfam family "Archaeal small subunit ribosomal RNA", at positions 321 to 879 of the family's 1478-position model. The record is from RNAcentral.
CCCUACGGGGUGCAGCAGGCGCGAAACCUUUACAAUGUGGGAAAGCAUGAUAAGGGAACUCCGAGUGCCAGUAUCUAAUACUGGCUGUCCUUGUGCCUAAAACGCACAAGAUAGCAAGGGCCGGGUAAGACCGGUGCCAGCCGCCGCGGUAACACCGGCGGCCCGAGUGGUAGCCGCUAUUAUUGGGUCUAAAGGGUCCGUAGCCGGUUCGAUAAGUCCUCUGGGAAAUCUGGUUGCUUAACAAUCAGACUGCCAAGGGAUACUGUCGAACUUGAGACCGGGAGAGGUAAGAGGUACUUCAGGGGUAGGAGUGAAAUCUUGUAAUCCCUGGGGGACCAUCUGUGGCGAAGGCGUCUUACCAGAACGGGUCUGACGGUGAGGGACGAAAGCUGGGGGCGCAAACCGGAUUAGAUACCCGGGUAGUCCCAGCCGCAAACGAUGCUCGCUAUGUGUCAGGUACGGUGUGACCGUAUCUGGUGCCGUAGGGAAGCCGUGAAGCGAGCCACCUGGGAAGUACGGCCGCAAGGCUGAAACUUAAAGGAAUUGGCGGGGGAGCAC